Molecule: ribosomal RNA, 497 nt
Filed under: uncultured bacterium
Lineage: Bacteria
Description: partial 16S ribosomal RNA
Rfam family: Bacterial small subunit ribosomal RNA
Source: RNAcentral
GAUGAACGCUGGCGGCGUGCCUAAUACAUGCAAGUCGAGCGAACAGAUGAGGAGCUUGCUCCUCUGACGUUAGCGGCGGACGGGUGAGUCACACGUGGAUAACCUACCUAUAAGACUGGGAUAACUUCGGGAAACCGGCGCUAAUACCGGAUAAUCUAUUGAACCGCAUGGUUCAAUAGUGAAAGACGGUUUUGCUGUCACUUAUAGAUGGAUCCGCGCCGCAUUAGCUAGUUGGUAAGGUAACGGCUUACCAAGGCAACGAUGCGUAGCCGACCUGAGAGGGUGAUCGGCCACACUGGAACUGAGACACGGUCCAGACUCCUACGGGAGGCAGCAGUAGGGAAUCGUCCGCAAUGGGCGAAAGCCUGACGGAGCAACGCCGCGUGAGUGAUGAAGGUCUUCGGAACGUAAAACUCUGUUAUUAGGGAAGAACAAAUGUGUAAUUAACUAUGCACGUCUUGACGGUACCUAAUCAGAAAGCCACGGCUAACUACGUG